UUUAUACAUAUGCAUAUGAGUGUGCGUAUAUACAUUUCAAUGUACAUAUACGCUAAUAACUAUAUAAAUAGAUAAUAAGUGUCUAUAGGGUCAUAUAUAUCAGUGCAUAUAGAAAUGUAUAUAUGCACUAUCAAUGCAUAAGGGUGCAUGUGCGUCGCAUAUCAGUGUACAUAUAACUAAUAGCAAGUUUAUAUAUACACGUACAAACAUAUCAAUAUACACAUAUCCUUUAUAUGCACACUCAAUAUAUCAAUAUAUACAUGUCGUUUAUAUGCACAUUGUGAGUGUGAGAAUGAGUGUUAGUGAAUGUGUGUGAGUGUGAGUGUGAGUGUGUGUGUGUGUGUGUGAGUGUGAGUGUGAGUGUGAGUGUGAGUGUGAGUGUGAGUGAGUUUUAGUUUUAGUUUGUGUGUGUGUGAGUGUGUGUGUGUGAGUGUGUGGUGUGUGUGUGUACGUGUUAAGAAAAAGUGACUUAAUAAAAUUGCAAACCACAAGUAAAGCUCUAGAAAAUUCACUUCGUAUUUGCAUGAAAGAAGCAAGAGCAGUACUGCUAGAGAAUAAAGAACCAUUAAGCAAAUCGAGCUUUCAAGUUCAAGAUCUCAAAUAUCAAAGAAUAUAAAGAGAUCCGCCUCGAUGAUAAGUUGCAUUCAUGCUUGUUGAAUUACAAGCAAACUCAAUGAAGAUGAAGCUCAUCAACAAUAAUAAAAACAAGUACAAAUAUAUGAUAAAACUUUAGAUGGACUAUCACAAUUGGGUAUUUUAACAUACCUAAUAUAUCAAGAGAAGAAACUCAUUCCUAUGCCUAAUUCUAUACAAAGUAUUAUGGAAUUUCGCCUAAACUUAUCUGAUUAGAGGUGAUAGCUAGAAGAAAUAAUCUCCUUCUUUAAUACCUGAUUUUAUCACAAUUUGGAAAUUGUAUAUGGUAGGAAAAAUCAUUCACAGAGAAGAUAAUGAUUCGAAUGGUAAGAAUUGAGAGGAAAAUAAUAAAAAAGGAGGGGGCAGGGGGAACUGUCCCUUUACCUUGUUGGCUGCAACUGCCACCUGUGCUUUCAUAUACAUAUCAAUGUACAUCUACGCUAAUAACUGUAUAAACUGAUAAAAAGUGUAUAUAUGGUCAUAAACAUCGGUGUAUAUAAAAAUGUAUAUAUACACUAUUAAUGCGUAAGGGUGCAUGUGCGUACGCAUAUCAGUGUAUAUAUAACAGACAACAAGUUUAUACAAACACACAUAAACAAAUCAGUAAAUACAUAUCGUAUAUAUACACACUGUAUAUAUAUAAACUGCUAAUAUAUGUCCUUAUGGUUAUAUAUAUAUCAGUGUAUAAAGAAUGCAUGUAUUAUUGUAUAUAUACACAGUAUAUAUGCACUUAUCAACGCGUAAAGGUACAUGUGCAUGCAUAUAUCAGUACAUACAUAUAUUGAUAAUUGUAUAUAUUUGAUAGAAAGCAAUUGUGUACAUACACAUAACAAUAUCAGUAUAUACAUAUCGUAUUAUAUAUACACACAUCAGUCCAUACACACCAUGCAUAUAAGUAUAGUAUAUAUAUCUGUGAGUGUGAGUGUGAGUGUGAGUGUGAGUGUGUGUGAGUGUGAGUGUCAGUAUUAGUGGGUGUGUGUGGGUGAGUGUGAGUGAGAGUGUGUGUAGUAUAUAUGUUAAUAAUCGUAUAAAUUGAUAAAUACUGUAUAUAUCGUCAUAUAUACCAAUGUAUAUAUUACUGCACUGUAUAUAUACAGUUACGAACUUUAAACAUACACACAUAUCAAUAUAUACAUAUCGUAUAUAUACAGACAUCACACACAUACACACAUAUCAAUGUAUUUUUACACACUAAUAACUAUACAUAUAGCAGAUAACUAAUGUAUUGUAUGGUAAUAUGUAUCAGUAUGUAUAUAUAUACUGAAAACAAUAGUCUAUAUUGAUAUACAUCAAUUCGUAUACAAAUUAAGCGAAUAACUGUAUAUAUCACUGAUAAUAAGUAUAUACAUGGUCUUUUACAUAAGUGUACAAAUAAACCGUUUAUACAUAUGCAUAUGAAUGUGCGUAUAUACAUUUCAUUGUACAUAUACACUAAUAACUGUAUAAACUGAUAAUAAGUGUAUACAGAAAUGAAUGUAUGCACUAUCAAUGCGUGAGGAUGUACAUGUGUGUCGCAUAUCAGUGCAUAUAUAACUGAUAGCAAAGUUAUACAUACACACAAACAUAUCAGUAAAUACAUAUCAUUUAUAUGCAUACCGUAUAUACAUAUAAACUACUAAUACGCGUCAAUAUGGUCAAAUAUAUCAGUGUAUAUAGAAUGCAUGUAUUAGUGUAUACAUACACAUUAUAUAUGCACUUAUCCACGCGUAAAGGUAUAUGUACGUGCGCAUAAUAGUGCAUAUAUACAUCGAUAAUUGUAUAUAACUGAUAACAAGCAACUGUAUACAUAUACGCAAAAACAUAUGCAUAUACAUAUCGUAAAUAUACACACAUCAAUCCAUACACACCACGCAUGUGUAGUAUACAUAUAUGUGAGUGUCAGUGUCAGUGUUAGUGUCUGUGUGAGUGUGUGAGUUGUGAGUGUGAGUGGGAGUGUGAGUGUGUGAGAGGGAGUGUGAGUGUGAGUGUGAGUGUGAGUGUGAGUGUGAGUAUGUUUACACACAAAUAAACAUAUCAGAUUAUACAUAUCGUAUAUAUAUACACACUGUGUAUAUAUAUAAACAGCUAAUGAAUGUAUACAUACAUAGUAUAUACGCACUUAUAAACGCGUAAGGGUGCAUGUACGUAUACAUACCAGUGUACAUAUACAUUGAUAAUUGUACUUAACAGAUGCAAAACAACUGUAUAUAGACAUGCAUAAACAUAUAAGUAUAUACAUAUCGUAUAUAUACACACAUCAGUCCAUACACCACGCAUAUAUGUGUAGAAUAUAUAUCUCUGAGUGUGAGUGUGAUUGUGAGUGUGUGUGAAUGUGAGUGUGUGUGAGAGUAUGUGAGAGUCAAUGUGAGUGUGACUGUGUGUGUGUGUGUGUGAGUGCGAGUGCGAGUGCGAGUGCGAGUGCGAGUGCGAGUGUGAAUGUGUGCAUGCAUGUGUGAGUGUGAGCGUGUGUGAGUGUGAGUGUGAGUGUGUGGGUUUAAUAUAUAAAAUGCUAUACAUAAACAUUAAUAAUUGUAUAAACUGAUAAUAAAUGUAUAUAUGAUCAUAUACAUCAAUGUAUAUAGUAAUGUACAUUUUAGUGCACUGCAUAUAUACAGUUUACACGUGCACACAUAUCAAAAUAUACACAUACAUCGUAUAUAUACAGACAUCACGCACACACACAUAUCAACAUAUUUUUUACACACUGAUAACUGUAUAUAUAGCUGAUAACUAAUGUAUUGUAAGGUUAUAUGCAUCAGUAUAUAUAUAAAUAUAUAUAUAUACUGAAAACAAUGGUAUAUAUUAUUAUAAAUCAAUACGUACACAAAUUGUGCUAAUAACUAUAUAUAUCACUGAUAAUAAAGUUUAUACAUGGUCUUAUACUUUAGUGUAUAUAGAAACCGUUUAUACAUAUGCAAAUGAGUGUGCAUAUAAACAUAUCAAUGUAUAUAUAUAUUAAUAACUAUAUAAACAAAUAAGGAUGUAUAUUGAAAUGUUUGUAUACACUAUCAAUGCAUAAGGGUGCAUGUGCCUGUGCAUAUCAGUGUCUAUAUAACUGAAAUGUUUAUGCGUGUAGCAAGUUUAUACAUACACACAUAAACAUAUCAGUAUAUACAUGUCAUAGAUAUACACACUGUAUAUAUCACUAAUAAUGAAGUAUAUACAGGGUCUUAUACUUUAGUGUAUAUACAAACUGAUAAUAAGGGUCUAUAUGAUCAUACAUAUCAGUCUAUCCAGAAUGCAUGUAUUAGUGUAAACCUACACAAUAUAUACGCACUUGUCAAUGUGUAAGGGUGCAUGUGCGUGCGCAUAUCAGUGUAUGCAAAUAUUGAUAAUUAUAUGUAACUGAUAGCAAUCAACUGUAUACAUAGACGCAUAAACAUAUCAGUAUAUACAUAUCGUAUAUAUACACAUCAGUCCAAACACAACACGCAUAUAUGUGUAGUAUAUAUAUCUGAGUGUGAGUGAGUGUGAGUGUGAAUGUGAGACAUCGUCAGUUAUUAUUUCCAAUUUUUUUCAAUAGACUUGGCAGCCCCAGACCAUAGAAAGCUACUCGACUAAUCAAAAUGGAGCCGAGCAGGUUCGGAUUCCUAACCAUUGGAAUAACUGGAGGCGAUGGCUUCGCUUUCUGAGCUAAAAAAAAAACCUUCCCUCUUCGGACAUCAAGGCUCGCUGGUGAGUGAGAGUGUGUGAGUGUGUGUGUAGUAUAUAAAUCAGUGAACAUAUAGGUUACGAACUGUAUAAACUGAUAAUAAGUAUAUAUAUGGUCAUAUACAUCAAUGUAUAUAGAAAAGUAUAUAUUUUAACACACUAAUAAAUGUAUAUAUACAAUUAUGCAUUUUACACACUGUGCACUAUACACACAAACAUAUCAAUAUAUACUCAUCGCACCUAUAUAGCAUCACACACACAUCAAUAUUAUUUUUACACAUUAAUAACUAUAUAUAUAGCUGAUAACAAAUGUGCGAGUGUGAGUGUGAGAGUGAGAGUGUGUGUGUAGUAUAUAAAUCAGUGUACAUAUACGUUAAUAAAUUUAUAAACUAAUAAUAAAUGUAUAUAUGGUCAUAUACAUCAAUGUAUAUAAAAAUAUAAACAUUAAAUGCAUUGUAUAUAUAUACAGUUAUUUACACUAUAUAAAUCAGUGUACAUAUACGUUAAUAAAUUUAUAAACUAAUAAUAAGUGUAUAUAUGGUCAUAUACAUCAAUGUAUAUAGAAAUAUAAACAUUAAAUGCAUUGUAUAUAUACAGUUAUUUACACAUACACAGAAAUCCGUAUAUACACAUCGUAUAUAUACAGACAUCACACACACAUAUCAAUGUAUUUUUACACAUUAGUAACUGUACAUAUAGCUGAUAACUAAUGUAUUCCAGGCUUAUAAACAUCAAUACGUAAACAUAUAGAGCUAAUAACUGUAUAUAUCACUGAUAAUAAGUAUAUACAUGGUCUUAUACAUUAGUGUGAGUGUGAGUGUGAGUAUGUGUGUGGUGUGUGUGUGUGUAAAGAAAAAGUUAAUAAAAUUGCAAACCACAAGUCAACCUCCAAAAAAUUCAAUCCAUAUUUGCAUGAAUGAAGCAAAAGUGUGUGUUAAGAAAAAGUUACUUCAUAAAAUUGCAAACCACAAGUAACGCUCUUGAAAUUUCACUCCAUAUUUGCAUGAAAGAAGCAAAAGCAGUACUAUAAUAGAAAAGAAAGAACCAUCAAGACGAACAAGCUUGCAAUAUCAAGAUCUCAAAUAUCGAAUAACAUAAAGAGAUCCACCUCUAUGAUAAGUUGCUUUCAAGCUUGUUGAUUUACAAGAAAACUCAAUGAAGAUCAAGCUCAUCAAUAAUAAUGAAAACAAGCACAAAUAAGAUAAAAAAUUUACAUGGACUAUCACAAUAGGGUAUUUAGCAUACCCAAUUCACCAAGAGAAGAAACCCAUUCUUAUGCCUAAUUCUCACAAAGUAAUAAGGAAUUUCGCCAAGGCUAAUCAAAUUACAGGUGAUAGUAUAUAUAUUUGUCAGUGUGAGUGUGAGUGUGAAAGAAGCAAGAGCAGUAAUAUAUCACUUCAUAUUUGCAUGAAAGAAGUAAGAGCAGUGCUAUACUACAGAAGAAAGAACCAUUAAGCAAAUCAAGAUUGCAAGAUCAAGAUCUCAAAUAUCGAAUGACGUAAAGAGAUCUGAUCCGCCUCGAUGAUAAAUUGCUUUCAUGCUUGUUGAUUUACAAGAAAACUCAAUGAAGAUGAAGCUCAUCAAUAAUAAUAAAAACAAGUACAAAUAAGAUAAAAAAUUUACAUGGACUAUCACAAUAGGGUAUGUAGCAUAUCCAAUUCAUCAAGAGAAGAAACCCAUUCUUAUGCCUAAUUAUAUACAAAGUAAUAAGGAAUUUCGCCAAGGCUAAUCAAAUUAUAGGUGAUAGUAUAUAUAUUUGUCAGUGUGACUGUGAUUGUGAGUGUGAGUGUGAGUGUGCGUGUGAGUGUGAGUGUGAGUGUGAGUGUGAGUGUGAGUGUGCAUGUGAGUGUAAGUGUCAGUGUCAGUGCGAGUGCGUGUGUAAGUGUGUGAGUCUGAGUGUGUGUGUGUAUGAGUGAGUGUGAGUGUGAGUGUGAGGAUGAGAGUGAGUGUGAGUGUGAGUGCGUGUGUAGUAUAUAAAUCAGUGUACAUAUACGUUAAUAAAGGUAUAACCUAAUAAUGAAUAUAUAUGGUUAUAUAUAUCGAUGUAUAUAUAAAUGUAUAUAUUAAUGCACUGUAUAUAUAAAUGUAUAUAUUAAUGCACUGUAUAUAUACAUUUAUGCACUUACACUUACACACAAAUCCGUAUAUACACAUCAUAUAUAUACAGACAUCACACACACAUAUCAAUGUAUUUUUGCACACUAGUAACUGUAUAUAUAACUGAUAACUAAUAUAUUGUAUGAUUAUAUGCAGCAAUAUAUAUAUACUCUGAAAAGAAUGGUAUAUAUUGAUAUACAUCAAUACAUACACAAAUUGAACUAAUAAUUGUAUAUAUAUCACUGAUAAUAAGUAUAUACAUGGGCUUAUAAAUUAGUGCAUAUAUAAACUCAUUAUACGUAAGCAUACGAGUGUGAGAGUAUAUACAUAUCAGUGUACAUAAACACCAAUAACUGUAUAAACUGAUAAGAAGUGUCCAUAUAGUCAUAUAUAUCAGUGUAUAUAGAAAUGUAUAUGCAUUAUCAAUGCGUAAGGGUGCAUGUGCGUGCGGAUAUCAGUAUACAUAUAACUCAUAGGAAGUUUAUAGAUACACGCAUAAACAUAUCAGUAUAUACAUGUCGUAAAUAUGCACACUGUAUAUAUAUGUAAAGUGCUAAUAAGUGUCGAUAUGGUUAUAAAUAUCAGUGUAUAUAAUAUGCAUGUAUUAGUGUAAAUAUACACAGUAUAUAUGUACUUAUCAACACGUAAGGGUGCAUGUGCAUACACGUAUCAAUGUAUACAUACAUUGACAAUUGUAUAUAACUGGUAGCAAGCAAUUGUAUACAUACAUGCAUAAAUAUAUCAUCGUAUAUACGCACAUCAGUCCAUACACAACACUCAUAUAAGUGUAUUAUAUAUCUGAGCGUGAGUGUGAGUGUGAGUGCGUGUUAAUAUGUGUGAUUGUGUGGGUGUGAGAGUGUGUGUGUGAGUGCGAGUGUGUGAGUGUGAGCACGAGCGUGAGUGUGUGAGCGUGAGCGUGUGUGUGUGUAUGUGUGUGUGUGUGUGUGUGUGUGUGUGUGUGUGUGUAUGUGGUGUGUGUACGUGUGUUAAGAAAAAGUUACUUAAUGAAAUUGAAAACCACAAGUAGUACUCCAGAAAAUUCAUUCCAUAUUUGCAUGAAAGAAGCAAGAGUGUGUGUGUGUUAAGAAAAAGUUACUUAAAAAAUUACAAACCACAAGUAAAGUUUCAGGAAAUUCACUUCAUUUUUGCAUGAAAGAAGUAAGAGAAGUAUCAUACUAGAGAAGAAAGAACCAUUAAUCAAAUCAAGCUUGCAAGAUCAAGAUCUCAAAUAUCGAAUAACGUAAAGAGAUCCACCCCGAUGAUAAGUUGCUUUCAUGCUUGUUGCUUUACAAGCAAACUCGAUGAAGAUGAAGCCCAUCAAUAAUAAUAGAAACAAGUACAAAUCAGACAAAAAAUUUUAGAUGGACUAUCACAAUCGGGUAUUUAGCAUACCCAAUUCAUCAAGAGAAGAAACCCAGUUUUAUGCCUAAUUCUAUACAAAGCAAUAUCAAAUUUCGCCUAGGCUUAUCUGAUUAGAGGUGAUAGCCAGAAGAAAUAAUCUCCUUCUUGAAGGCCCGAAUUUAUCACAGUUUGGAAAAUUGUAUACGAAAAAAUCAUUCACAUAGAAGAUAAUGAUUCGAAUGGAAAGAAUUGAGAGGAAAAUAAUAAAAAAAGAAGGGGGGGGAUAUGUUCAACCUUAUUGACUGCAACAGCCACCUGUGCAUUCAUAUACAUAUCAAUGUACAUCUACGCUAAUAACAAUAGAAACUGUUAAAAAGUGUAUAUAUGGUCUAUAUCAACGUACAUAAAAAAGUAUAUAUGCGCACUUAAUGCGUAAGGGUGCAUGUGCGUGCGCAUAUCAGUGUAUAUAUAACUGAUAGCAAGUUUAUACAUACAUGCAUAAACAUAUCAGUAUAUACAUAUCAUAUAUAUACACACUGUAUAUAUAUAUAUAUAUAUAAACUGUUAAUAUAUGUCUCAGUGUAUAUAGAAUGCAUGUAUAAGUGUAUGCAUAUACAUUAUAUAUGCACUUAUCAACGCGUAAGGGUGCACGUGUGUGCAUAUAUCAGUACAUAUAUAUUGAUAAUUGUAUACAACUGAUAGCAAGCAACUGUAUACAUACACGCAUAAACAUAUCAAUAUAUACAUAUCGUAUAUAUACACACAAUAGUCCAUACACAGCAUGCAUAUAUGUGUAGUAUAAAUAUCUAUGAGUGUGAAUGUCAGUGUGUGUGUGUGUAAGUGCGAGUGUAUGUGAGUGAGUGCGAGUGUGAGUGUGCGUGUGAAUGUGAGUGUGAAUGUGAGUGUGAGUGUGAGUGUGAGUGUGAGUGUGAGUGUGGGCGUAGGCGUGGGCGUGGGCGUGGGCGUGGGCGUGGGCGUGGGCGUGGGCAUGAGUAUGUGUGUGAGUGAGUGUGAGUGUGAGUGUGAGUGUGAGUGUGAGUGUGUGCAGUAUAGAAAUCAGUGUAUAUAUAUGUUACUAACUGUAUAAACUGAUAAUAUACAUCAAUAUAUAUAGAAAUGUACAUAUUAUGGUCAUAUAAUGCACUGUAUAUAUACAGUUAUGCCUUUUACACAAACACACAUAUCAGUAUAUAUACAUACACACACACACAUGUCAAUGUAUUUUGUACACACUAAUAAGUAUAUAUAGAGCUGAUAACUAAUGUUUUGUAUGGUUAUAUGCAUUAGUAUAUAAAAAUACACUGAAUUGUUAUACAUCAAUACGUACAGAAAUUGAACUAAUAACUGUAUAUAUCACUGAUAAACCCAUUAUACAUAUGCAUAUGAGUGUACGUAUAUACAUAUCAGUGUACAUAUGCAGUAGUAACUGUAUAAACCGAUAAUAAUUGUCUAUAUGAUCAUAAAUAUCAGUGUAUAAAGAAAUGUAUGUAUGCACUAUCAAUUCGUAAGAGUGCAUGUGCGUACGCAUAUCAGUAUAUAUAACUAAUAGCAAGUUUAUAUAUACGUGUGUAAACAAAUCAGCAUAUACAUAUCGUAUAUAUGCACACUAUAUAU
RNAcentral lists this long non-coding RNA (9315 nucleotides) under Amborella trichopoda. RNAcentral describes it as "long non-coding RNA (ATRI_LNC001821)". The record is from RNAcentral. Lineage: Eukaryota; Viridiplantae; Streptophyta; Magnoliopsida; Amborellales; Amborellaceae.